CCCAGUGUUCAGGUGUGUUCACAAGUCUGUGAUCGUGUACGUAGACGCCAUGUUGACUGUGUCAGCCUGUCGCAGCAAUUCGUCAACAUCGCCACCAUAUUGGAAAAGAUAAGACUUACCAGUGAACAAAUUCAGAUCAUUUAACUUGAAGACCACAUCUAUAAUGCAUCAUGAAGCUCUUCAUAGUGUCAUGAGCCCAUUGUCGGUGAGUGACCUCCCUCUGACUGUCAGCUGAGCUCAGGUGAGGAGAGGACAAACAGGAAGUGAGUUGAGUGAAGGAGGAGCUAAAGUCCAGAGGGAGUGAGACCAAACCAACUUGUUCCAUCAGGAAAAUCCAACAUCUCCACACUUACGGGGUUUUCAGCUGACAGCAGCAGUGACGUGAGCUCACCCUACUCCUGCCUGCAGCCAAUCACAGCGCUUCUCAACCUCCUCUUCCUGCUAUUGGCCGGGAAUGUCAACAGAGCGGUGUGUUUCACGUGCAGCAGCAGCAGGUCAGCGAACGCCUCAUGAACAGAACCUGAACACAGCACGAGGGAUUUAAAGGGCCAGUCCGUCACGUCAUCAAAACAUCAGCCUGGAUCAGUAGGAACAAUAUUUACAGUAAUGUGAUUGUUGUAAUGUGAUUACUUCUCAAUAAGUAAUACUUGAUUAUAAGGGUCACCUGUCAGUCAUCCUGAGAGUGACAGCAGCUGUGUCCAAUCCUGUGGCUUUAGGCUUGGUGGUGGGCGGAGCUUCACUUUAAUUGGAUCUUAUAUUGUAGUAAACAUUGAUCAUUAUCAAACCAAUCAUAAUUUAAUAACGUAAUAUUGAAAUACUUAUUGAUUAGUAUGAGAAUAAUUAUAUUUCAGAACAAUGAUAUUAGAGUAAAUAUUGAUUAAUAUCAGGACAGUGAUGUGG
Epinephelus fuscoguttatus (brown-marbled grouper) is the source of this 900-nucleotide long non-coding RNA. RefSeq lists it as uncharacterized. The transcript has 4 exons. The record is from RefSeq and is a predicted model, not a curated record. NCBI's taxonomy places the organism in Eukaryota, Metazoa, Chordata, Actinopteri, Perciformes, Serranidae.